This 87-nucleotide non-coding RNA is filed under the name Pseudomonas sp. GV085. The record is from RNAcentral. Lineage: Bacteria; Pseudomonadati; Pseudomonadota; Gammaproteobacteria; Pseudomonadales; Pseudomonadaceae.
GUAGGAGUGAGCCUGCUCGCGAUGGCGGUCUGUCAGUCAUAUCAAUGUUGACUGAUACGCCGCCAUCGCGAGCAGGCUCGCUCCUAC